Dipodomys ordii (Ord's kangaroo rat) is the source of this 72-nucleotide non-coding RNA. The record is from Rfam. NCBI's taxonomy places the organism in Eukaryota, Metazoa, Chordata, Mammalia, Rodentia, Heteromyidae.
GGGAAUGUAGCUCAGUGGUAGAGUGCUUGUCUAGCAUGCAUGAAGCCCUAGGUUCGAUUCCUCAGAAUCACA